GAGGAAUAUUGGUCAAUGGGAGAGAUCCUGAGCCAGCCAAGUCGCGUGAGGGAAGACGGUCCUAUGGGUUGUAAACCUCUUUUGUCGGAGAACAAAACCCGGGACGUGUCCCGGACUGCGUGUAUCCGAAGAAAAAGCAUCGGCUAACUCC
Molecule: ribosomal RNA, 151 nt
Filed under: uncultured bacterium
Lineage: Bacteria
Description: partial 16S ribosomal RNA
Rfam family: Bacterial small subunit ribosomal RNA
Source: RNAcentral